This 22-nucleotide microRNA is filed under the name Melibe leonina. Its description in RNAcentral is "mle-miR-2g-3p". Its record names the gene mle-miR-2g-3p. Lineage: Eukaryota; Metazoa; Mollusca; Gastropoda; Nudibranchia; Dendronotidae. The record is from miRBase by way of RNAcentral.
UAUCACAGUGGUUGAGAGAGCG